This 301-nucleotide ribosomal RNA is filed under the name uncultured bacterium. RNAcentral describes it as "partial 16S ribosomal RNA". It matches the Rfam family "Bacterial small subunit ribosomal RNA", at positions 509 to 807 of the family's 1533-position model. The record is from RNAcentral.
CAGUCGCCGCGGGAAUACAGAGGGUGCGAGCGUUAAUCGGAUUUACUGGGCGUAAAGCGUGCGUAGGCGGCUUCUUAAGUCGGAUGUGAAAUCCCUGAGCUUAACUUAGGAAUUGCAUUCGAUACUGGGAAGCUAGAGUAUGGGAGAGGAUGGUAGAAUUCCAGGUGUAGCGGUGAAAUGCGUAGAGAUCUGGAGGAAUACCGAUGGCGAAGGCAGCCAUCUGGCCUAAUACUGAAGCUGAGGUACGAAAGCAUGGGGAGCAAACAGGAUUAGAUACCCCAGUAGUCCCUGUCUCUUAUAC